GUUAAGUCAGAUGUAGAAACGGCCCGGGGCUACAACCGUACGGUAAUUGCUAUUUAGAAACGUGGACAAACUAGAGUACUGUAGAGGGGGUAGAAUUUCAGGUGUAGCGGUGAAAUGCGUAGAGAUCUGAAGGAAUACCGGUGGCGAAGGCGGCCCCCUGGACAGAUACUGACACUCAGAUGCGAAAGCGUGGGGAGCAAACAGGAUUAGAUACCCUGGUCG
This 222-nucleotide ribosomal RNA is filed under the name uncultured bacterium. RNAcentral describes it as "partial 16S ribosomal RNA". The stretch from base 27 to 222 matches the Rfam family "Bacterial small subunit ribosomal RNA", at positions 556 to 793 of the family's 1533-position model. The record is from RNAcentral.